CUGUUUUUGUUUUCCUCAAAUUGAAAAUCUAAUGGUUCAGAAGAAGUAGGGAGCUAGCUUCUUAAUUUAGCAUUGUAUUACUCAGCAGUUUUUAGAAGCUCUAAAUUCAUCUGCUUGUUAUCUCAUUGUGCUCAUUAUUGCUUCUGCUGAGUCCAGACUAAAUAAACUCUUAUGUCAUGGCCACAGCUGCGCAGUUAUGCCUCUCUCAUGAGGAAAAAUCCUAGAUGACUGAGAGCUUGUUUUCUGUCUGUCGUGUGCAGCCAUGUAUAGGUUACCUCUGAUUGCUGCAAACAAAAUGAAUCAUGCCCUCUUUAGGAAAAUAUUUAUUAUAAAGGUAGUCAUGUAA
This 346-nucleotide long non-coding RNA is filed under the name Cyanistes caeruleus (blue tit). RNAcentral's name for it is "lncRNA (ENSCCEG00000016175.1)". Lineage: Eukaryota; Metazoa; Chordata; Aves; Passeriformes; Paridae. The record is from RNAcentral.